AGAGUUUGAUCAUGGCUCAGAUUGAACGCUGGCGGCAUGGCUAAGACAUGCAAGUCGAGCGCGAAAGGGGCUUCGGCUCCGAGUAGAGCGGCGAAAGGGUGAGUAAUACGUUCCUACGUACCCUCCGGUCGAGGAUACUCCGGGGAAACCCGGGCCAAUACUCGAUGUGGUCUCCGGAUCAAAGGCUUCGGCCGCCGGUGGAGCGGGGAACGUCCUAUCAGGUUGUUGGUGAGGUAAUGGCUCACCAAGCCUAAGACGGGUAGCGGGUGUGAGAGCACGGCCCGCCACAUCGGGACUGAGACACUGCCCGGACUCCUACGGGAGGCUGCAGUAACGAAUAUUCCGCAAUGCGCGAAAGCGUGACGGAGCAAUGCCGCGUGCAGGAUGAAGCCCCUCGGGGUGUAAACUGCUGUCAGGGUUUAGCAACUCAAUGAGCAGACCCAAAGGAAGAGCCGACUAACUCUGUGCCAGCAGUCGCGGUAAUACAGAGGGCUCGAGCGUUAAUCGGAAUCACUGGGCUUAAAGCGUGCGUAGGCGGACGUGUAGGCACUUUGUGAAAUCCCCCGGCUCAACCGGGGAAUUGCUUGGUGAACCACACGUCUUGAGGCAAGUAGGGGCUGUCGGAACGCUAGGUGGAGUGGUGAAAUGCGUUGAUAUCUAGCGGAACGCCGAAGGUGAAAACAGGCAGCUGGGCUUGUCCUG
Molecule: ribosomal RNA, 702 nt
Filed under: uncultured bacterium
Lineage: Bacteria
Description: bacterial SSU rRNA
Rfam family: Bacterial small subunit ribosomal RNA
Source: RNAcentral